AAAAGACGCAUUUUGAUUAGAAAUUUGAGAAAGAAAAAUAAAGAAAGUGGAUGUGGGUCAAAAAUGUGGGUGCAUUUUUGGGUAGUAAAGAAAAAAUGUGAAAAAGAGAGGGCAACAAAUCCAAAUGGUCAUCUAAUCACCCUCCAGCAACUUCAUUACCACACACAACUUUUGGGCCUACACAAAGUUCUUGUUUUUUGUUUUUAGGCACCUUUUUUUUUUCCUUGAUGAAAAUGGCGUUUGAGCAAUAUGGCAAUCUCACUGGACUU
RNAcentral lists this long non-coding RNA (269 nucleotides) under Brassica napus (rape). RNAcentral describes it as "long non-coding RNA (BNAP_LNC002304)". The record is from RNAcentral. Lineage: Eukaryota; Viridiplantae; Streptophyta; Magnoliopsida; Brassicales; Brassicaceae.